GACGAACGCUGGCGGCGUGCUUAACACAUGCAAGUCGAACGGUAAGGCCCUUCGGGGUACACGAGUGGCGAACGGGUGGAGUAACACGUGGGUGAUCUGCCCUGCACUUCGGGAUAAGCCUGGGAAACUGGGUCUAAUACCGGAUAGGACUCCUGGCUUCAUGGUUGGGGGUGUAAAGCUUUUGCGGUGUGGGAUGGGCCCGCGGCCUAUCAGCUUGUUGGUGGGGUAAUGGCCUACCAAGGCGACGACGGGUAGCCGGCCUGAGAGGGUGACCGGCCACACUGGGACUGAGAUACGGCCCAGACUCCUACGGGAGGCAGCAGUGGGAAUAUUGCACAAUGGGCGCAAGCCUGAUGCAGCGACGCCGCGUGAGGGAUGACGGCCUCGGGUUGUAACGUCUUCAAUAGGACGAAGCGCAAGUGACGGUACC
Molecule: ribosomal RNA, 430 nt
Filed under: uncultured bacterium
Lineage: Bacteria
Description: bacterial SSU rRNA
Rfam family: Bacterial small subunit ribosomal RNA
Source: RNAcentral